UACGGAGGGGGCGAGUGUUGUUCGGAAUUACUGGGCGUAAAGGGCGCGCAGGCGGCUUGGCAAGUCGAGUGUGAAAUCCCUUGGCUUAACUGAGGAACGGCGCUCGAAACUACCUCGCUGGAGGGCGGGAGAGGGAAGUGGAACUCUCGGUGUAGGGGUGAAAUCUGUAGAUAUCGAGAGGAACACCGGUGGCGAAGGCGGCUUCCUGGCCCGUACCUGACGCUGAGGCGCGAAAGCGUGGGGAGCAAACAGG
This 253-nucleotide ribosomal RNA is filed under the name uncultured bacterium. RNAcentral's name for it is "partial 16S ribosomal RNA". It matches the Rfam family "Bacterial small subunit ribosomal RNA", at positions 524 to 776 of the family's 1533-position model. The record is from RNAcentral.